Molecule: ribosomal RNA, 438 nt
Filed under: uncultured eukaryote
Lineage: Eukaryota
Description: bacterial SSU rRNA
Rfam family: Eukaryotic small subunit ribosomal RNA
Source: RNAcentral
CAAUAGCGUAUAUUAAAGUUGUUGCAGUUAAAAAGCUCGUAGUUGGAUUGAGAGCCCGUGACGGUCGCGGUCUGCCGGGACGGUAUGCACUGCCUGUCAUUAGGGUUUUUUAUUCGUUCGGUUAGUCCCCUUCUGCUCUUCAUUGAGUGGGAGGUGUUUGGCUCCGGACUGUUUACUGUGAAAAAUUAGAGUGUUCAAAGCAGGCAUCCUCGCCUUGAAUACAUUAGCAUGGGAUAAUAGAAUAGGACUUUUCUCCUAUUUUGUUGGUUUCUAGGAAAGAAGUAAUGAUUAACAGGGAUAGUUGGGGGCGUUUAUAUUUAAUUGUCAGAGGUGAAAUUCUUGGAUUUCUGAAAGAUAAACUGCUGCGAAAGCGUUCGCCAAGGAUGUUUUCAUUAAUCAAGAACGAAAGUUAGGGGAUCGAAGACGAUUAGAUACCGU